AUUGAACGCUGGCGGCAGGCCUAACACAUGCAAGUCGAACGGUAACAGGAAGCAGCUUGCUGCUUUGCUGACGAGUGGCGGACGGGUGAGUAAUGUCUGGGAAACUGCCUGAUGGAGGGGGAUAACUACUGGAAACGGUAGCUAAUACCGCAUAACGUCGCAAGACCAAAGAGGGGGACCUUNUCGGGCCUCUUGCCAUCGGAUGUGCCCAGAUGGGAUUAGCUAGUAGGUGGGGUAAAGGCUCACCUAGGCGACGAUCCCUAGCUGGUCUGAGAGGAUGACCAGCCACACUGGAACUGAGACACGGUCCAGACUCCUACGGGAGGCAGCAGUGGGGAAUAUUGCACAAUGGGCGCAAGCCUGAUGCAGCCAUGCCGCGUGUAUGAAGAAGGCCUUCGGGUUGUAAAGUACUUU
Molecule: ribosomal RNA, 414 nt
Filed under: uncultured Escherichia sp.
Lineage: Bacteria; Pseudomonadati; Pseudomonadota; Gammaproteobacteria; Enterobacterales; Enterobacteriaceae
Description: bacterial SSU rRNA
Rfam family: Bacterial small subunit ribosomal RNA
Source: RNAcentral